GCAGGGCUGGCAGGGAGGCUGGGAGGGGCUGGCUGGGUCUGGUAGUGGGCAUCAGCUGGCCCUCAUUUCUUAAGACAGCACUUCUGUUAGCUGACCUACACAGAAGCAGGUCAUUUCGAGAUGUUUGCGUCUUGGAGCCACUGAUAGAAGCAGGGCAAGGGAGAGUGAAUGAGGAAGGAAGGCGGGAGUGUGAUGACGCAUGCCCAGCUUUGCGCGGAGGCAGAGCACUUGCCUGUGUGGGGCCCUGCCCUUCUCUUGAGAGGCAGGCGGGCCCUAGCUGCAGCGUCAAGAAGGCUGACCUGUGUGGAUGCAUUAUCAGGGUGGAUGCAACACAGGGCUGCCAUGCUCUCUGGUAUCAGUUUGGAAGGCACUGGCAGGAUGGGAAGGCAGGCGGGGAGUGAGGUCAGGGGGCCUAUCCUUCCACUGCCUCCCUGCUGCUCCCUGACUGAUUCAGAGCCAGUCUUGGUGCUCUGUGUUCACCUGGUUCAUCUGAGGAGCUGCAUCUACCCUGCCCAUGCCAUAGAUCCUGCCCUGUUUGCUUCUCCUGUUGCUGCUAGUGGACAUGAGAUCUUGGACAUGAUACCUGGAUGUGCAGCAGCCAUCUGGUAAUUAUGAGGUGACAAGUCAAUAGACUGAGAUGGUGGAGCAGCAAAGAUAGAAAAGAAGGACAGAAUAACGGGCUCCCAGAUUCACAAGCCCCACCAAGAGGAUCACCCCAGGAACGCUUGGAGGCUGAGGAGUUCACUGAGGCUACUGCAUCUUGAGACUCAGGAUGAAGACCCAGCUUGGGGCUGUCAAAGGUGCGACCUGCCAGCUGAGACCUCCAGGGGUCGAGCCCAGGCCCCUUUGCCUUGUUCAUGGCUUAGGCCAGUGCUUAGCAUAUAGUAAACAACUUGUAAAUGUUUAUUA
Molecule: long non-coding RNA, 909 nt
Organism: Homo sapiens (human)
Lineage: Eukaryota; Metazoa; Chordata; Mammalia; Primates; Hominidae
Gene: PVT1
Product: Pvt1 oncogene
Source: Ensembl